RNAcentral lists this ribosomal RNA (2263 nucleotides) under Candidatus Synechococcus spongiarum LMB bulk10D. RNAcentral describes it as "bacterial LSU rRNA". It matches the Rfam family "Bacterial large subunit ribosomal RNA", at positions 3 to 2314 of the family's 2925-position model. Lineage: Bacteria; Bacillati; Cyanobacteriota; Cyanophyceae; Synechococcales; Synechococcaceae. The record is from RNAcentral.
UCAAGCUACAAAGGGCUCACGGUGAAUACCUUGGCACGUAGAGGCGAUGAAGGACGUGACUACCUGCGAUAAGUCUCGGGGAGCGGGAAGUAAGCUUUGAUCCGGGAAUUUCCGAAUGGGGCAACCCUGGGGUAACCCAACGGCUAGCUGAAUCCAUAGGCUAGUUCGAGCCAACCCAGCGAACUGAAACAUCUUAGUAGCUGGAGGAAAAGAAAGUAAAAACGACUCCCUUAGUAGCGGCGAGCGAAGCGGGAUCAGCCUAAACCAAUCAUUUCGAUGGUUGGGGUUGUGGGACAGCAAUGUGGACCAGGAAUUCUAGAAGAAGCGUUUGAACGACGCACCAUAGAGGGUGAUAGUCCCGUACUCGAAAGAUGAACUGGCCUAGCUGUAUCCCGAGUAGCACGGAGCACGUGAAAUUCCGUGUGAAUCUGCGAGGACCACCUCGUAAGGCUAAGUACUACUGCGUGACCGAUAGCGUACAGUACCGCGAGGGAAAGGUGAAAAGAACCCCGGGAGGGGAGUGAAACAGAACAUGAAACCGUGAGCCUACAAGCAAUGGGAGCCCGACUGAUCGGGUGACCGUGUGCCUGUUGAAGAAUGAGCCGGCGACUUAUAGGCACUGGCAGGUUAAGAGGAAAAUCUCGGAGCCACAGCGAAAGCGAGUCUGAAUAGGGCGAUCGUCAGUGUUUAUAGACCCGAACCCGGGUGAUCUAACCAUGGACAGGAUGAAGCUUGGGUGACACCAAGUGAAGGUCCGAACCGACUGAUGUUGAAAAAUCAGCGGAUGAGCUGUGGUUAGGGGUGAAAUGCCAAUCGAACCCGGAGCUAGCUGGUUCUCCCCGAAAUACAUUGAGGUGUAGCGUCUAGUGCUUAAGCAGGGGGGUAAAGCCACCGUUUCGGUGCGGGCUGCGAGAGCGGUACCAAAUCGAGACGAACUCUGAAUACCCUGUGUGUAACUAGGCAGUCAGACUGUGGGGGAUAAGCUUCAUGGUCAAGAGGGAAACAGCCCAGACCGCCAGCUAAGGUCCUUAAGUCACUACUAAGUGAUAAAGGAGGUAAGAUUGCAAAGACAACCAGGAGGUUUGCCUGGAAGCAGCCAUCCUCAAAGGAGUGCGUAAUAGCUCACUGGUCGAGCGAUCUUGCGCCGAAAAUGAACGGGGCUAAGUAGUGUACCGAAGCUGCGGAUUCUUUGAAUGGUAGGGGAGCGUUCUAUGUGGAUUGAAGCGUUAGCGAAAGCGGGCGUGGACUGCAUAGAAGUGAGAAUGUCGGCUUGAGUAGCGAAAACAUAGGUGAGAAUCCUAUGCCCCGAAACCCUAAGGGUUCCUCUGUCAAGCUCGUCUGCAGAGGGUUAGUCAGGACCUAAGGCGAGGCCGAAAGGCGUAGUCGAUGGACAACAGGUCAACAUUCCUGUACUGGCUGUUGUUUGGACAGGUGGACGGAGAAGGCUAAGCGAUCCGGAUAUUGGUUUCCGGUUCAAGCGUUCAAGGUGUUGAAGAGCGGUGAAAACGCUCUGAGCUAAAGCGUGAGUACGAGCUCUUACGAGAGCGAAGUCGCUGAUGUCAUACUUCCUAGAAAAGACCUUAGUCCGUUAAGCAACAAUUACCUGUACCCGAAACCGACACAGGUGGGGUGGUAGAGUAUACUAAGGGGCGCGAGUUAACUCUCUCUAAGGAACUCGGCAAAAUGGCCCCGUAACUUCGGGAGAAGGGGUGCCACCGUCAGGUGGCCGCAGUGAAGAGUCCCAGGCGACUGUUUACCAAAAACACAGGUCUCCGCUAAGUCGCAAGACGACGUAUGGGGGCUGACGCCUGCCCAGUGCCGGAAGGUUAAGGAAGCUGGUUAGCAUUGCGAAGCUAGCGACCGAAGCCCCGGUGAACGGCGGCCGUAACUAUAACGGUCCUAAGGUAGCGAAAUUCCUUGUCGGGUAAGUUCCGACCCGCACGAAAGGCGUAACGAUCUGGGAGCUGUCUCGGAGAGAGGCUCGGCGAAAUAGAAUUGUCUGUGAAGAUGCGGACUACGUACACCCGGACAGAAAGACCCUAUGAAGCUUUACUGUAGCUAGGUAUUGUGCUCGGGCCCUGAAUGCGCAGGAUAGGUGGGAGGCUUUGAUCUAUUCCUUGUGGGGGAUAGUGAGCCAUUGGUGAGAUACCACUCCUUCAGGGCUAGAGUUCUAACUGUUACCCGUUAUCCGGGAACAGGACAUUAUCUGGUGGGCAGUUUGACUGGGGCGGUCGCCUCCUAAAAAGUAACGGAGGAGGGGUCA